GCUGGCGGCGUGCCUAACACAUGCAAGUCGAGCGAGAAAUCUUGGAAUGAGACUUCGGUUAAGUGAAGAGAUGGAAAGCGGCGGACGGGUGAGUAACGCGUAGGCAACCUGCCUUAUGCAGAGGGAUAGCCAUUGGAAACGAUGAUUAAAACCUCAUAAAGCCAUUUUAUCACAUGGUGAGAUGGUCAAAGAUUUAUCGGCAUAAGAUGGGCCUGCGUCUGAUUAGCUAGUUGGUGGGGUAACGGCCUACCAAGGCGACGAUCAGUAGCCGACCUGAGAGGGUGAUCGGCCACAUUGGAACUGAGACACGGUCCAAACUCCUACGGGAGGCAGCAGUGGGGAAUAUUGCACAAUGGGCGAAAGCCUGAUGCAGCAACGCCGCGUGAAGGAAGAAGGUCUUCGGAUCGUAAACUUCUGUCCUUGGGGAAGAUAAUGACGGUACCCUUGGAGGAAGCCCCGGCUAACUACGUGCCAGCAGCCGCGGUAAUACGUAGGGGGCAAGCGUUAUCCGGAAUUAUUGGGCGUAAAGAGUGCGUAGGUGGUUACCUAAGCAGGGGGUGAAAGGCACUGGCUUAACCAAUGUCAGCCCCCUGAACUGGGUACCUUGAGUGCAGGAGAGGAAAGCGGAAUUCCUAGUGUAGCGGUGAAAUGCGUAGAUAUUAGGAGGAACACCAGUGGCGAAGGCGGCUUUCUGGACUGUUACUGACA
This 708-nucleotide ribosomal RNA is filed under the name uncultured Clostridium sp. Its description in RNAcentral is "bacterial SSU rRNA". It matches the Rfam family "Bacterial small subunit ribosomal RNA", at positions 35 to 745 of the family's 1533-position model. Lineage: Bacteria; Bacillati; Bacillota; Clostridia; Eubacteriales; Clostridiaceae. The record is from RNAcentral.